GGGGAAUUAGCUCAAUUGGUAGAGCACUGCCUUUGCAAGGCAGGGGUUAGGGGUUCGAGUCCCCUAUUCUCCA
RNAcentral lists this transfer RNA (73 nucleotides) under Actinomycetes bacterium. RNAcentral's name for it is "tRNA-Ala". It matches the Rfam family "tRNA". Rfam says of the family: Transfer RNA (tRNA) molecules are approximately 80 nucleotides in length. Their secondary structure includes four short double-helical elements and three loops (D, anti-codon, and T loops). The record is from RNAcentral. Lineage: Bacteria; Bacillati; Actinomycetota; Actinomycetes. RNAcentral also lists the same sequence under 2 other names.